Molecule: small RNA, 279 nt
Filed under: Arabidopsis thaliana (thale cress)
Lineage: Eukaryota; Viridiplantae; Streptophyta; Magnoliopsida; Brassicales; Brassicaceae
Description: ATSL095730
Source: RNAcentral
UAAGUUAAUAGGGAACCGCGAAUAAUGAUUGGUUUCAUAGAUGCACGAACACGUCAAUAUUCAAAAUAAUUCAACCGAGUUUGAAAUUAUUCCUUAACGAAACCCUCCAAUAAUCAAAUUUUCUGUUUCGACGUGGAAUAAAAUAACGUUACGGCUGAGUUAUCCAAUAAGAUUUCGUGUUUUGGCCAAGUUAUGAGAUACCAUAUGUUAUUAUGAUAUAUCAAACCAGCCACCAAAUUGUUGGUUAUAUUAGUAGCGUGAAAAUGUGCAAUUUGAAAA